Motacilla alba alba is the source of this 5094-nucleotide RNA transcript. It is a transcript of the gene named single-pass membrane protein with coiled-coil domains 3, with no coding region annotated. Lineage: Eukaryota; Metazoa; Chordata; Aves; Passeriformes; Motacillidae. The record is from RefSeq and is a predicted model, not a curated record. The transcript has 4 exons.
UAAGACUGAGUAAUGACAUGUUUUGUCAGGCUACAGUUCCCUUUAAAGGGAUUUAUAUUAGUCAGUUUAUACACUGACUAGAUGGUGCAAGCAUCCUCUGGUAGGUGGAAGCACAAAACACUCUCCUUGCUUGGGUGCCCAUCAUGAUACCAUUUUGACUGCUAAGAAAGUUAUGUCCUUCUGCUUGCACCUCCGAGCUCUCACAAGGCCAGCUAGAGACACAGUCCUGGGAUAGUGUGCAGCUCAGAGACUGCUCCUGAUGUUGCCUCUGCUUCUGCCAGAGCCCUGCAAAGCUGGACUGGUUGCAGCAGACAUGUUUCAUCAGCUAUUGCCGUGGUUAGAUGUGUAGUCAGAAGUGUUCAAGCAAUUGCAACUUCCUGUCCCACUGUAUACUUUUAAAGACUUUUUCGUCAGAACUCAGUUCAACCAUCUGCCUUUUCCUCCAUUUCUUUCCCAUGACAAAAGAGGUCUGAAAUUGCAUGAAAUGGCAAAACUGAUUUUAGCCUUCACUGCUGUUCAGAGCUGAGUCUGGGCCUCCAUACCACUUCUACUCUCAGGGCAUCAGAGACCUGGCAAAUCGCAGCAAGUAAGGAUGACAGAUACCCCAGAUCAAGUAUUCUCCUCCAACUCAAUAGGCCUGCAAUAAUAGCUAUUAAUCCUCCCAAAAGAUCCAGAGUAAAGCAGGAACAAAACUGUCUUCAUAUUGUUCAAAUUACUUUCUGUCUUGUUCCAAAUGAUGAGAGCUCUAGAAGAAAAGAAUUUGCAUCCACUGCAAACACAGAAGACCUGAAAUAUGUUUCCAGAAUGUGACACACAGGCAGUUGCCAGCCUGAUCAAUUCAAUUCAGUUCAAUAUCUCACAAAGUAUUUCAGGACUACAUGGCAUUCUCAGUGGAAAAUACUCAGCAGUCACAACUAAUUGACAUUUCCAGAACUAUAGCAGUUAAAUCAUUUAGUGUUCUCUUUCAGCUUAUGUUCUCAUGCCCACAGCUCCGACAACAAGAGAGUUUGGCACUCUGACUGUAUUCAUUGGAGUUGAAUACAGCAGCUCAGCUUUCAGGUGAAAACACGUUAGCAAUUGCAAAAUGCACAUUUUAUGCUUCAUCUUAUAUUUUCAUCUGAGAAGCCAGCCAUCCUCUAUAGUGAAAGCAGCGUUCCUAGUGAGACCCUUGUGGGCUGCAGGUCCACCUUUCUAAGGACAAGAGCAUGAAACAUGUCUAGCUUGGUUGGAGGCAUAUAUACAACUUGUCUUACUGGAACAGACAAAGCCUGUUUCCACUGUCUGUGGCGUCUAUUCUUCUGUUUAUGUGGGAUCAUUCAAUUUUUCUUCUGUAAUUUGCAGGCGUACAAAAGAAGUCAUUGCAAAAAUUCAUUAUUUCAAGGCACAGGUGCAAGCAUUAAUGUUUCUAUUUAUGAACAACAGAAACCAGUAAAAACCAUAAUCUUGUAUCUAUUUGAAUUAGAUGUGCUGUCCUACACCUUUUAUGUUCUGAGCACAGCAAGUGACACCAUCCCCUUUCAGCCAUGGCUGUAGGUGCCUGUGAUAGCACCUCUGCUGCAGGCAGGAGGGAUUUGUGCUGUACCCAUUCUCGCCAGGAACAGAAGGCCUUUGGAGGAUCUAGCAAUUGGGAACUAGCAUCAAGUGAACGGAAUUCUCUUAAAAUUGGAAGGAUGGCGAGAGGAGGAAGAAAAUGAGAUGAAUCUGGGUAAACAUCACACAAUAGAAUUAAUGACAGGCAGGCACAGGAUGCAGCUGAAGCCCAGCCUCCGGAUCCCUAACUCAUCACAUGCUGCUGGAAAACACCAGGCGAGCAGAGGGGAAAGAGGCUGAAGUUACUAUCCCAUACACAUUUCAACAGGAGCAUUCAGACCAAAUCAGCUUGUAUAAGAAGAUGUGUUAAGCAGUUUAUUCUCUUGGCAGAGAUACAAGCAGCCUGUUUCUGAAGAAUGGCAUUGAGUGACCUCCUUUACCCAGAUAAUCCCAAGAGAAAGCAAGAACUGAUCCAUCUGCAUCAGGAAUUGCUUGACUGUAUGUCCACAAAUUUCCAUGCAACAAACGAGCUGGUUGGAGUGCUGAAUGAUCACCUGGGCUGUACAAUUACCCCCAUUGAGAUGCGAGAGAGCAGUACAGUCAAGGAAAACUGUGAGAUUAUCAUUCAAGUGAUGAGUGAGAUUCAGCAUCAGGUGCAGAAGAUUGAUAGUGACAUGAAGGACAAGCUUGAGCCAGUGCUGUACCAGAAGCUGUAUGAUAUCAAAGAGCCCGAGCUGGAGAAAAUUGCAAUAGCCCAGAGAGUUUUUUCCAUUAUUUUUGGAGAAGCAACUUCAACAGCUGCAAUGGUAGCUAUCAAACUUCUUGGCUCCAAUCAUUUAACUCUCACUGUGAGCAAGCUCAUCGGCAUCCUUGCACAGAUUGGGGCAUCUGUUCUUGGGGGAGUGAGCAUUACCAUUAUUGGGCUUGGCCUUGAGAUGAUUCUUCAUGCCAUCCUGGGAGCUGUGGAGAGGAGCCAGCUUCUGACAGCUGUGAGAAGCUACGAGAAGCACCUGGCUGAGUUUAAAGCAGCCUCAGAAAAGUACCAGGGUGCCAUACAUGAAGUAACUUCUUUGGUGAGGCAGCAAGUUCAGUAAAUGAAGGUGGAGUUCUCUCUUCUGCUGUCACAGCAGCUGCAGCAGCUUAUGCCUAUGGAAACCUUUUCGAUUCUUUAUGACAAAUCAACUACUGAUGGCUUUUUAAUUUCUUAUUAGUGGCAGCAGAACAAGAAAAGUGAUAGUUCAGGAAAGUGGCACUGAAAUACAUUAACAGAGAACUGGUUUACAGGUGUUUCAGAAGGGCGAUGUUCCAAAUGCUUUGCACCUUUGCUUAAGCUUAUUUUCUGGGAAGCAUUGUAGGUAACCUUGAACUGUAAUUCAUACUAGAGACAAUAACACAGGCUGCUGGACUGGUAGUAGUGAGAAGGUGUGUUUCUCUAUCAAAGAUGACAACACAAUGGGAGAAAACAAUUUCAACAAGGCAAUUCAUGCCAGCAUCUGGAGGCUUUAUGAAGACAUCUGUGGUUGCUAAACCCUUACUGUGGUUUAGUGCUAAAUCUGAUAGACUGAAUUCAAUUACAAGGACUAGCUGAAGCAUAUUUAACUGCUAUUUUCUGCCCUCCUAAGGAGCCAGCCAGAGAUCUUCUUUAAAUAAACUCUAAUCCCAGUAGAUUGGCAGGUAAGAGAAGCCUGGGCCUACAUGCAGAUACACAAAACCUUGCUCCACCACUGAGAGAAACCAGCUGCUGCAUUCCAGGUGUGCCUGGCCGUGAAUAACCUCUCGUGCUGGUGGUGCUCUGCUCCUGCCAACCCACAUGUAAAAAUUUCUGUGCAAAGUUGCUCUUUUGUUGAUUGGAGUGGGAUUAUACCCAUGUACAAGUGCCUGUAGGAUUGCAGCCCUAUUAAACUAAAGUUAUUUUCAAGGCUUUACCUGAUCCCACCAACUGGGGGACUGCCAAGAAUGUGCUCAGAUUCUGCGCUUCGCAAUACACUACCAACUGUCCUUUUUUCAGAUUUUAAAACCAAACCUGGAAGCAAGAACAUUAUUUGUAGUGUCUUGCUCUGAUUUGCAGUGGAUUGUUUUUUCUUGAUCUUAGAAAAAAGCCACUAGAUGGCAAUGAAACUGGAACCCAACAACUCUGCCAAGUCAAAAGGGAGAAAGCCCAGGGAUCAGGAGCAUAGGUGGGUGCCAGGGCCUGAGAAACUGGGACCAGCUGCAGACUGGGCGAUGUGAGUCAGGAAAGGCACUUCAGUGGUGGCAAAAAGCACUGCCUUGCCUGCACGAGGUAUUGUGGUGGAUGACGUGGUCACCUGAGGCAUCACUUCUCCGAGAUGGAACAUCUCUUGUCUCCUGACACAAAUGGCACUCAGUUUAGAGGUACUUCUAUAGAGGCAAGAGACCGUCAGUCAGUAGAACAGCAAUAUCUGUGUGUUGGAGAGGCAGGAGUUCCUGGCUCCCAUUUUCUAUGUGCAAAUGUACACUCUAAACUAGGAAUUAAAAUCAGCUCUGACAGAUUGCCAAUCACUGCUGUAUGAGAAUAGUGGAGUCAAAGAACAACAAAUAUGUUGUAUUUUUCAAGCAAUUUGCCCACAUGUUCUUGAAUUCUAAUGCUAAGCAGUGUCUGGGGAAGUGAGGUAUGCAAUGAGGAACACAGAGGUAUAAAACUGCUACUCGCCUCUAGGUAUAUCCUUGUUCCUGGUGGACUUUAAGGAAAGCGGGUCUCCCCUAAACAGAUUUAAUUCCUGCUCUGUCUAAUCCUCUGGCCAGUCUUAUGUUUAGUGCUCCAAAGAUGUCAUAACCAGUCUGUUGAUAUUUCCCCUGCAGACUCCUUCAAGCUGCCUCUCAGUGUGACAGAAGUACCGAGCGAAAAAUGUGAGAGGACUAUUGUCCUCCAAAUCAGCAGACACUGCUGAGAGAAGGCAGUCAGGGCUGAGGCAGUACCACUGUCCCCACUGAGCCAGGACUGCCAGGACCCCAAGCCUUGUGAGGUGCAGCGAGCCUUCGAAGACUCAGCCAUCCCCCUCUACAGUGGCAUGGCACCUGACAGGGAUGUGUAUGGCCACAGCUUUCCAUCACAUCCUCUUGAGUGUACUGCCUUUGCUUGGGCUGUUGCUCUGGACAAAGGAUUAGGAAUUAAAACUGUGAUAUAUGUGUUCCAAAUAAGAACAGCCUCAAAAAAACUGCAAACCAGCCCAAACCAGUGUAAGCUGCUUCCAAACCUAUGUGGAAAACCAGUACGGUUGCAACCAAAAUCUGCCUGGCUGAAUGUUUUUUCUGGUGACAAGAAUAAUACAAAGACAACCUGCCAAAGAGGCACAAGGUGGGGAUGACCAUGCUGUGCAUGUGGUUAGCAAGACUCUGUAGGCACUGAGAGCUCCUGAAGCCUUGGCUCUGAGGAUGCUCCUUGAUUUUGACUUUGUGCAGCUUUUGACUAAACGCUGGCAUUAAUGUGAUGUAUAGCUUAUAGUCCUUUACCCAUCCUGCAAUGAACUUUACAAAUUAGCCAACUGAGUCUCCGUUACUUGAAAAAUUAUAACAGCAUUGUGUUGCACGGUAUGUUCACCAGGA